GCUGGGCGUGGUGGUGCACACCUGUAAUCCCAGUGUCUCAGGAGGCUGAGGCAGGAGGAUCACAAGUUCAAAGCCAGCCUCAG
Molecule: small RNA, 83 nt
Filed under: Marmota monax (woodchuck)
Lineage: Eukaryota; Metazoa; Chordata; Mammalia; Rodentia; Sciuridae
Source: RNAcentral